CCUACGGGGUGCAGCAGUGGGGAAUAUUGGACAAUGGGCGAAAGCCUGAUCCAGCCAUGCCGCGUGUGUGAAGAAGGCCUUCGGGUUGUAAAGCACUUUCAGUGGGGAAGAAAGCCUUGGGGCUAAUACCCUCGAGGAAGGACAUCACCCACAGAAGAAGCACCGGCUAACUCCGUGCCAGCAGCCGCGGUAAUACGGAGGGUGCGAGCGUUAAUCGGAAUUACUGGGCGUAAAGCGCGCGUAGGCGGUCUGAUAAGCCGGUUGUGAAAGCCCCGGGCUCAACCUGGGAACGGCAUCCGGAACUGUCAGGCUAGAGUGCAUGAGAGGAAGGUAGAAUUCCCGGUGUAGCGGUGAAAUGCGUAGAGAUCGGGAGGAAUACCAGUGGCGAAGGCGGCCUUCUGGACUGACACUGACGCUGAGGUGCGAAAGCGUGGGUAGCAAACAGGAUUAGAUACCCGAGUAGUC
Molecule: ribosomal RNA, 465 nt
Filed under: Vreelandella stevensii
Lineage: Bacteria; Pseudomonadati; Pseudomonadota; Gammaproteobacteria; Oceanospirillales; Halomonadaceae
Description: partial 16S ribosomal RNA
Rfam family: Bacterial small subunit ribosomal RNA
Source: RNAcentral